AUUGUUCGUGACAUGAACUAAAUGCUCGAAGAGAGAUGUAUGAGAAGUAUGAAAUGUGACAAACGUCGGAAAUAGUGAGUCAUGCCAAGCCAGUAACCAAGAUCCGCAUGCAUCUGAACCGAAAUCAGUGGCAGCCAAGUGUCGUUUCUUCAACGCCGGACAACACUGCUAACCUUACCUAUCCUCUAGCCCGCAAUGGUUUUUUCGUCUUCUGCUUCUUCUGCAACACCCCUCGAGCAUACCGUGUGUAUACACCACGAUGAAAAGUCUUGGGACACGAGUACCACAUCUUACAAAACUGGAAAAAAAUCUGUCAAGCGUUAGUGUACAGGGAGUGUCGAGAAUGUCGAGAAGAAGUUACAGUGGCUCAAAAAUGGCAUCAUUUCAUUUAAAAAGGGAACGAACUUAAUCUUUGUAUGAUUCUCAAUGUAUUUGGCCAUGAAAGGAGUAUUGAUACUAUAUUGAUCAUAUAUUUCUUGACAUCGAGCCGGAUAUAUACAUAUUCUAUUAUACGUGGCUUAUCCUAUACUAACUAUUAUACUAUCCUGUAUUAACUAUUAUAUGUACAAUAAGCUGUAUGCUAGGACAAACGUAAUUAGUUCUUGAACCUCCUUCGUUAUAGUAUACACUGAAAUAAUAUAUGUAUUUAAGAGUUAAUCCAUUCCGAAUACAGAGUGAAGAGUAAAAUUCUCAGUAAUAUAACGGAGGAAAAAUAUAAUAUACAUUCAAAACUAACAUAAAAUUUACUUUUUUAGUGAAAAAUACUAUAUAGAAACGUUUUAACAUGUUGAACAAAGAUCAGUCACUGU
Long non-coding RNA from Frieseomelitta varia, 809 nucleotides. RefSeq lists it as uncharacterized. The record is from RefSeq and is a predicted model, not a curated record. The transcript is spliced from 4 exons. NCBI's taxonomy places the organism in Eukaryota, Metazoa, Arthropoda, Insecta, Hymenoptera, Apidae.